AUUGAACGCUGGCGGCAUGCUUUACACAUGCAAGUCGAACGGUAACAGGCCUUCGGGUGCUGGCGAGUGGCGAACGGGUGCGUAAUGCAUCGGAACGUACCCAGAGGUGGGGGAUAACGCAGCGAAAGCUGUGCUAAUACCGCAUGUGAUCUGAGGAUGAAAGCGGGGGACCGAGCAGCAAUGUUUGGCCUCGCGCCUUUGGAGCGGCCGAUGUCGGAUUAGCUAGUUGGUGGGGUAAAGGCCUACCAAGGCGACGAUCCGUAGCUGGUCUGAGAGGACGACCAGCCACACUGGGACUGAGACACGGCCCAGACUCCUAAGGGAGGCAGCAGUGGGGAAUUUUGGACAAUGGGCGCAAGCCUGAUCCAGCAAUGCCGCGUGCGGGAAGAAGGCCUUCGGGUUGUAAACCGCUUUUGGCAGGAACGAAACGGUGUCCGCUAAUACCGGGCGCUAAUGACGGUACCUGCAGAAUAAGCACCGGCUAACUACGUG
This 492-nucleotide ribosomal RNA is filed under the name uncultured bacterium. RNAcentral describes it as "partial 16S ribosomal RNA". It matches the Rfam family "Bacterial small subunit ribosomal RNA", at positions 29 to 507 of the family's 1533-position model. The record is from RNAcentral.